AUUGAACGCUGGCGGCAGGCCUAACACAUGCAAGUCGAGCGGAUGAGUGGAGCUUGCUCCAUGAUUCAGCGGCGGACGGGUGAGUAAUGCCUAGGAAUCUGCCUGGUAGUGGGGGACAACGUUUCGAAAGGAACGCUAAUACCGCAUACGUCCUACGGGAGAAAGCGGGGGGAUCUUCGGACCUCGCGCCAUUAGAUGAGCCUAGGUCGGAUUAGCUAGUUGGUGAGGUAAUGGCUCACCAAGGCGACGAUCCGUAACUGGGUCUGAGAGGAUGAUCAGUCACACUGGAACUGAGACACGGUCCAGACC
This 309-nucleotide ribosomal RNA is filed under the name uncultured bacterium. Its description in RNAcentral is "bacterial SSU rRNA". It matches the Rfam family "Bacterial small subunit ribosomal RNA", at positions 30 to 337 of the family's 1533-position model. The record is from RNAcentral.